GGUUCCGUGGUGUAGUGGUUAUCACGUCUGCUUUACACGCAGAAGGACCCCGGUUCGAUCCCGGGCGGAAUCA
RNAcentral lists this transfer RNA (73 nucleotides) under Stegodyphus dumicola. RNAcentral describes it as "tRNA-Val". It matches the Rfam family "tRNA". From Rfam's summary of the family: Transfer RNA (tRNA) molecules are approximately 80 nucleotides in length. Their secondary structure includes four short double-helical elements and three loops (D, anti-codon, and T loops). Further hydrogen bonds mediate the characteristic L-shaped molecular structure. tRNAs have two regions of fundamental functional importance: the anti-codon, which is responsible for specific mRNA codon recognition, and the 3' end, to which the tRNAs corresponding amino acid is attached (by aminoacyl-tRNA synthetases). tRNAs cope with the degeneracy of the genetic code in two manners: having more than one tRNA (with a specific anti-codon) for a particular amino acid; and 'wobble' base-pairing, i.e. permitting non-standard base-pairing at the 3rd anti-codon position. Lineage: Eukaryota; Metazoa; Arthropoda; Arachnida; Araneae; Eresidae. The record is from RNAcentral.